GCGUAGCAGCGCCGUCUGAAUUGUGUCAGCAGUACGAGAAAGCUUUGUUAAACGUUAACAGCACUAACUGUGGCAUAAUCAUUUGCAUACAGAAGUCGUCAUGCUCUUCUCUCUUUGCUCUGUCCGUUCAUUCAUACGAUUUAACAGCGACAAUUACAUCAAAAUAGAUUUACAAACCAGCAUUUGUAGACUAAAGGGAGCACUAAAGGCCAAAGUAGCACAACGAACCCACACAUGUUACAGGAACUCAAGGAUAAUAUCCAUGAGUCAGUUCAUUCACUUUCUUAAAGAGAAGUACAUUGUGUGACAAAUAAUUUCUUCAGUAGAUAUGAGGAAUGUGUGGAAAAAAAAUGGCAUGUACUUCCAGCAUCUCAAUGCAUGACAUAGGUAGAAGAUAGGGAUGAAGUGCCAACCUUUUCUACACUGGAAGUGCAAUCUGUAGCAAAUUAUGUGGAGAGUUUGUGUAGCAACAGUAGUAAUACAGGGUGUCCAACAAAGGACUCUCUAACAUUAGAAUCAAAUACAACAUUUGAAGACAGUGUCCCGAAAAAAACGGUUAUUCUGAGACACAGAUACAUAAUUCAUUCAGUGCCAGGCGAGUUCAAUCUAUGGAGCAGAAUGAGGAUACGAAGACACCCACCACUCUGGCCUUUUUUGGUGCCAUGUCAUUAAGAACCGGAAGAGUCCUCGGAAGAUAUGAAAUUAAGUGUUUUUCAACCAUCUGCAAAACUGAAAAACCUGUUGGGUUCAGUUAAGGAUGAUCUUGGCCUGAGGAAAUGUGGUGUGUACAAGAUUCCUUGUCAAUGUGGGGCAGCAUAUAUAGGCCAGACAUGCCACACGAUACAAAAACACU
This 853-nucleotide unclassified non-coding RNA is filed under the name Schistocerca americana (American grasshopper). RNAcentral describes it as "uncharacterized LOC124553817, transcript variant X2". Lineage: Eukaryota; Metazoa; Arthropoda; Insecta; Orthoptera; Acrididae. The record is from RNAcentral.